UACGUAGGGUGCAAGCGUUGUCCGGAAUUAUUGGGCGUAAAGAGCUCGUAGGCGGUGUGUCGCGUCGGCCGUGAAAACCUGCAGCUUAACUGUGGGCUUGCGGUCGAUACGGGCAUCACUGGAGUUCGGUAGGGGAGACUGGAAUUCCUGGUGUAGCGGUGAAAUGCGCAGAUAUCAGGAGGAACACCGGUGGCGAAGGCGGGUCUCUGGGCCGAAACUGACGCUGAGGAGCGAAAGCGUGGGGAGCAAACAGG
This 254-nucleotide ribosomal RNA is filed under the name uncultured bacterium. Its description in RNAcentral is "partial 16S ribosomal RNA". It matches the Rfam family "Bacterial small subunit ribosomal RNA", at positions 524 to 776 of the family's 1533-position model. The record is from RNAcentral.